RNAcentral lists this ribosomal RNA (1028 nucleotides) under Pseudodactylaria denticulata. RNAcentral's name for it is "SSU rRNA". It matches the Rfam family "Eukaryotic small subunit ribosomal RNA", at positions 73 to 1111 of the family's 1831-position model. Lineage: Eukaryota; Fungi; Ascomycota; Sordariomycetes. The record is from RNAcentral.
AUUAUACAGCGAAACUGCGAAUGGCUCAUUAAAUCAGUUAUCGUUUAUUUGAUAGUACCUUACUACUUGGAUAACCGUGGUAAUUCUAGAGCUAAUACAUGCUAAAAAUCCCGACUUCGGAAGGGAUGUAUUUAUUAGAUUAAAAACCAAUGCCCUUCGGGGCUCUCUGGUGAUUCAUAAUAACUUCUCGAAUCGCAUGGCCUUGUGCCGGCGAUGGUUCAUUCAAAUUUCUGCCCUAUCAACUUUCGACGGCUGGGUCUUGGCCAGCCAUGGUGACAACGGGUAACGGAGGGUUAGGGCUCGACCCCGGAGAAGGAGCCUGAGAAACGGCUACUACAUCCAAGGAAGGCAGCAGGCGCGCAAAUUACCCAAUCCCGACACGGGGAGGUAGUGACAAUAAAUACUGAUACAGGGCUCUUUUGGGUCUUGUAAUUGGAAUGAGUACAAUUUAAAUCCCUUAACGAGGAACAAUUGGAGGGCAAGUCUGGUGCCAGCAGCCGCGGUAAUUCCAGCUCCAAUAGCGUAUAUUAAAGUUGUUGAGGUUAAAAAGCUCGUAGUUGAACCUUGGGCCUGGCUGGCCGGUCCGCCUCACCGCGUGCACUGGUCCGGCCGGGCCUUUCCCUCUGGGGAGCCGCAUGCCCUUCAUUGGGUGUGUCGGGGAACCAGGACUUUUACCGUGAAAAAAUUAGAUCGCUUAAAGAAGGCCUAUGCUCGAAUACAUUAGCAUGGAAUAAUAGAAUAGGACGUGUGGUUCUAUUUUGUUGGUUUCUAGGACCGCCGUAAUGAUUAAUAGGGACAGUCGGGGGCAUCAGUAUUCAAUUGUCAGAGGUGAAAUUCUUGGAUUUAUUGAAGACUAACUACUGCGAAAGCAUUUGCCAAGGAUGUUUUCAUUAAUCAGGAACGAAAGUUAGGGGAUCGAAGACGAUCAGAUACCGUCGUAGUCUUAACCAUAAACUAUGCCGAUUAGGGAUCGGACGAUGUUAUUUUUUGACUCGUUCGGCACCUUACGAUAAAUCAAAAUGUUUGGG